AGACGAACCGUCCAAACGUUAUUCGGAAUUAUUGGGCUUAAAGGGUGCGUAGGCGGUGCGGUAAGUCGGGUGUGAAAUCCCUCAGCUCAACUGAGGAACUGCGCUCGAUACUGCCGUGCUUGUGGAAGAUAGAGGUCAGCGGAACUGAUGGUGGAGCGGUGAAAUGCGUUGAUAUCAUCAGGAACACCAGUGGCGAAAGCGGCUGACUGGAUCUUUUCUGACGCUGAGGCACGAAAGCUAGGGGAGCGAACGGGAUUAGAUACCCCGGUAGUCCUAGCUGUAAACGAUGAGCACUUGAUCGAAGACUCCUCCAUAGGUUUUCGGUCGUAGCGAAAGUGUUAAGUGCUCCGCCUGGGGAGUAUGGUCGCAAGGCUGAA
Molecule: ribosomal RNA, 377 nt
Filed under: uncultured bacterium
Lineage: Bacteria
Description: bacterial SSU rRNA
Rfam family: Bacterial small subunit ribosomal RNA
Source: RNAcentral